Molecule: microRNA precursor, 80 nt
Filed under: Medicago truncatula (barrel medic)
Lineage: Eukaryota; Viridiplantae; Streptophyta; Magnoliopsida; Fabales; Fabaceae
Description: MIR5269 microRNA precursor family
Rfam family: MIR5269 microRNA precursor family
Source: Rfam by way of RNAcentral
UUGGGUUAAAUCAAUGUGGGUUAUACAUUUUGGAAAUGGAAUCCAUAUAAAGUGGUGGGACAUAUAUUGAUUUUAUCUAA